Molecule: ribosomal RNA, 425 nt
Filed under: uncultured bacterium
Lineage: Bacteria
Description: bacterial SSU rRNA
Rfam family: Bacterial small subunit ribosomal RNA
Source: RNAcentral
UAAGGAAUAUUGCGCAAUGGGCGAAAGCCUGACGCAGCAACGCCGCGUGCGGGAUGAAGGCCCUCGGGUUGUAAACCGCUUUCAGUAGGGAAGAAAAUGACGGUACCUACAGAAGAAGCCCCGGCCAACUACGUGCCAGCAGCCGCGGUAACACGUAGGGGGCAAGCGUUGUCCGGAUUUAUUGGGCGUAAAGAGCUCGUAGGCGGUUUCGUAAGUCGGAUGUGAAAACUCCAGGCUCAACUUGGAGACGCCAUUCGAUACUGUGAUGACUUGAGUCCGGUAGGGGAGUGUGGAAUUCCUGGUGUAGCGGUGAAAUGCGCAGAUAUCAGGAGGAACACCGGCGGCGAAGGCGGCACUCUGGGCCGGUACUGACGCUGAGGAGCGAAAGCGUGGGUAGCAAACAGGAUUAGAUACCCCCGUAGUCC